Molecule: ribosomal RNA, 497 nt
Filed under: uncultured bacterium
Lineage: Bacteria
Description: partial 16S ribosomal RNA
Rfam family: Bacterial small subunit ribosomal RNA
Source: RNAcentral
GAUGAACGCUGGCGGCGUGCCUAAUACAUGCAAGUCGAGCGAACAGACGAGGAGCUUGCUCCUCUGACGUUAGCGGCGGACGGGUGAGUAACACGUGGAUAACCUACCUAUAAGACUGGGAUAACUUCGGGAAACCGGAGCUAAUACCGGAUAAUAUAUUGAACCGCAUGGUUCAAUAGUGAAAGACGGUUUUGCUGUCACUUAUAGAUGGAUCCGCGCCGCAUUAGCUAGUUGGUAAGGUAACGGCUUACCACGGCAACGAUGCGUAGCCGACCUGAGAGCGAGAUCGGCUACCUGGUAUCUGAGACUGGGCCCACACUCCGACGCGAGGCAGCAGUAGGGACUCCUCCGCAAUGGGCGAAUGCCUGACGGUGCGACGCCGCGUGAGUCAUGAAGGUCUCCGGACCGUAAAACGCUGUUAGUAUUGAAGAACAAAUGUGUAAGUAACUAUGCACGUCUUGACGGUACCUGGUCAGAAAGCCCCGGCUAACUACGUG